CCCGGGUCUUGUACACACCGCCCGUCACACCACGAAAGCCCGCUGCAACAGAAGUGCUCGCCUCGGCGAGUCCGAAGUUGUGGCUGGUGAUUGGGGUG
This 98-nucleotide ribosomal RNA is filed under the name uncultured bacterium. RNAcentral's name for it is "partial 16S ribosomal RNA". It matches the Rfam family "Bacterial small subunit ribosomal RNA", at positions 1373 to 1482 of the family's 1533-position model. The record is from RNAcentral.